CCGGUGGCUCCACAGUCGGCGCAGACCGAGGAAACUAACCUGAACCAGACCCGGAACGGUGUGCGAGAAGGGCACUUUCUUUAGUCCGCGACACGGGACCUGGCUCUUCAACGCGGACAUGUACCGCCCGGGUAACGGACCGCCGCCGUUCGGACCUCCACCCCCCCACGGCCCUCCUUUCAGGCCCCCCGGGCCCUGCGGUGUUCCUCCCCCGGGACAUUUCCUCCACAACAGGCCACCGAGAGAGCAUUUCGUCAUUCUUCAUCCAUGCAUCCCGAUGCCCUCUACAAACUUCCAAUUUUCCUGACAGACGUCAUUUCAACUGCAUGACAACAGACCGUGCGGUCAUAUUUGUCAACACAGUCCAGAUCAGCCACUACCAUUGGCUACUGGCACUACCAUAUUCCUGCUUUACAUUUGAUUGGCCCCACUGUAGCGGCUUCUCCAUAGCUCGUAGUACAGUGAAUGCUUUGGGAGGCGGCCAGCAGAUCGUCUCUCCUGUACAGCCACCGCACAUUGAAGCCCCACAGUGGAACCCCACAGUUGUGGAGCACCACCCUUUGGACAGCAGUGAGCGGGCUGGCGAGGAGUUCCUGAGAUGCAUCGCAGCCAACAAGCCUCUCCCAGACUACCUGAAAGGGAACAUGGAGUUCAACCUGGCUGACGCGUUUAAGUCGGCCGAUGUCCUGAAAGAGGUUCUCAAAUCGGACGCCGAGUUCCAGAAGCUCGCGACCAGGAGCAAAAGCCGCAGUCGAAGCCGCGGAAAAUCUCGAGCCAAGAGCCGAGCGUCCAGCCGAGGCCGAGCGAGGAGCAAAAGCCGAGCGCGGGGCAAGAGCAGGCCGAGGAGCAAGAGCAGGCCGAGGAGCAAGAGCAGGCCGAGGAGCAGGAGCAGGAGCAGGCCGAGGAGCAAGAGCAGGCCGAGGAGCAAGAGCAGGCCCAGGAGCAGGAGCAGGCAUCGCAGUCGGAGUGGGAGCCGGAGCAAGAAGAAGAGUCACAUGCGGAGCAAGAGCCGGGCCAGGAGGUCCAGGUCACGAAGUAGCAGCAGAGAAAAGGGCCACGGCAAAGAGAAGAAGAGGGGCCCCUGCCACAACAGCCUGUUGGAAGGACUGAAGCUGGUCAUGAACAGCAAAGAGCUGGAGGAGCGCUUGCCCACCCUCAAAGAUGCCAUCCUCACUAUUCAGGCCUCGGGCGAAAGCCAAACGGCGGAGAGCGUGCCCACCGAGGACGGACCUCGGCAGCUCGACUGCAACGAGAACGCGACGUCACUGGAGAACGACAGCAUGCUCCUCCCCCACGACAGGGUGGGCAGCGACUUCUCCUGGCUCCAGGUGCAGACUCCUCCCGUCGCCGCUGCCCCGAAGGCGGACGAGCUUGAAGACGAGGAGUCGUUUCUGUACGGGAGUGACGACGCCAGGGGAAAGCAGGCCAACAAAUUCUCCGGCGAACGCCUUGCGGCGUUCCCCCAGAUUAGAGAACGUGCCAAGCGACAGGAAGCGGCCAGUUCGGCCGGUCAGCAACACCAUCAGAACAAAUCCGCACUCGCCUACGCCGACCUGGACAGCAGUGAGUGUGAGAAGAUCAGGAACAUAUUAAAGAGUCUGGGCAAGGCAGACGUCAGCGAGAUGAUGGGGAAGAUGCAGCCGUCUGCUGCACUUCCUGCGUCUGACCGAACGGCGGCGGCCGUGGCUUUGCCCGCGCUGCGUAACCCCGAUGUGCGACACGCUCUGGAGUCUCUACAGUCACUGAUCAAAGCGACAAAAGAGAAGCGUGAAAAAAGCGAUGGCAGUGGCACAUCUCCGGCAUCCCCCGAUAAGCACAAGGCAGGUGACGACGAGGAAAGGGAGAAUGAAAAACAAGCCCGAAUAAGUCAAAUGGAGUCCUUGAUGAAGGAGCUGGAAGGAUUGUUGAAGCAGGACGGGUUGAGUUUUAUGAGUCCAGUAAUCGGGUUUUACUGCCAGAAGUGUGAGGAGUUCAUUGGAGACUUGAACAGUGCUGAAAAGCAUGCAGCCAUCCAUCGCCAUAGCAACUCAAGCAGCCAGAAAGGGCUCAAGGACAAGCCUGCAGGAGACGGCAAGGGACACUCGCGCCAAUUUAGCAACAGCACUCAGCACCCACCCCCCUCGGACCGGACGGGGGACCACAGGAACCACAGAGACCCCCAACGAGACUGGAGGGACGACAGAGACCUCAGGAGCAAACGCCGCCACCACGGCGACGUCAGGGCCCACAGGGCCGGGCAGGACGGCGUCUCCUUGAAGGAGGAGAUGAGGAAGGAGAGGAUGCUCAUCACGGUGUCCCGUGGACUGACGCCUCCUCCGGGCGGCCGGGUGAAGGAGGAGGCCAGCGAGGAGCAGACCGCCGAAGGCCACGGCAAGGUCAAAGUGGAAGACAAGGGGAAAUCCUCCAAGGGCAACAGGGCCAAAGAUGGAAGCAGCGACAGCAGCAGCAGCGACGACGACAACAACAACAACAACAACAACAACAAGGGGAAACAGCAGAAAACCAAAUCCCCGAAAAAGAAGAAGAAGAAAAAGGAGAAGAAGAAGAAGAAGAAGAAGUCCUGA
Molecule: long non-coding RNA, 2564 nt
Organism: Cyclopterus lumpus (lumpfish)
Lineage: Eukaryota; Metazoa; Chordata; Actinopteri; Perciformes; Cyclopteridae
Source: Ensembl